UUGAAUCCAAAGGAUGUUGCUGGUGCUUGAAAAAGUACAUGUGCACUCCGACCUUCAUAAUCCACCUGUGCACUCAUUGUAGGCUCUGGAUUGAUUUCCAGAGUCUAUGCUUUUAUACACACUACAAAGUUUAUGGAAUGUCUGGGCUUUCAUUGCCUAAAAAUAAUAAUA
RNAcentral lists this unclassified non-coding RNA (171 nucleotides) under uncultured Clavulinopsis. RNAcentral describes it as "sequence contains ITS1". The record is from RNAcentral. Lineage: Eukaryota; Fungi; Basidiomycota; Agaricomycetes; Agaricales; Clavariaceae.